UACGUAGGUGGCGAGCGUUGUCCGGAUUUAUUGGGCGUAAAGCGCGCGCAGGCGGUCGCGUAAGUCUGCUGUGAAAUCUCCCUGGCUCAACCUGGAGGGGGCGGCGGAGACUGCGGGACUGGAGGGACCUAGAGGCCGGUGGAAUUCCCGGUGUAGUGGUGAAAUGCGUAGAUAUUGGGAGGAACACCGGUGGCGAAGGCGGCCCCCUGGACCGGUACUGACGCUGAGGCGCGAAAGCGUGGGUAGCAAACGGG
This 254-nucleotide ribosomal RNA is filed under the name uncultured bacterium. RNAcentral describes it as "partial 16S ribosomal RNA". It matches the Rfam family "Bacterial small subunit ribosomal RNA", at positions 524 to 776 of the family's 1533-position model. The record is from RNAcentral.